Molecule: long non-coding RNA, 3812 nt
Organism: Leopardus geoffroyi (Geoffroy's cat)
Lineage: Eukaryota; Metazoa; Chordata; Mammalia; Carnivora; Felidae
Exons: 4
Source: RefSeq, a predicted model, not a curated record
UAUUUAUUUAUUUAUUUAUUUAUUUUUGGUCUUGUGGCUUAUAGUUAAACCAUCACUUAGGCAGUUUCUUGCUCCACAAGCUUCAGAAUAGUUCCUUCUAGCUCUGUCUUCUGAACUUCAACUUACUGAGGACUCCCUUAUGAGUUUAACACUCCCUGUAACCCUGGCUUAUUGGGUCUUUUGCCUGGCAAUGCUUGGGGGGUCACUUUAGCUCUAUUCAUUCUCAGAUCAGGCUCCCUGAACAGCCAUUGUCUCCAAGAGGGGGUCAACGGCAGGCAAACCUGGGUCACUAUGGGCAGAGACAAGCAGCUCUGAGCCAAGGGCCAGAGGGCAGUGGAGAGAGCUGUGAGCUAAACAGACCAGAGCCCCUGCCCUCUCAUUCACUGUUCCGGAGUUUUCUGUAAAACCCCAGUUGCAUUUACUCUCCCGGGUCUCAGACACACCUCCCUAGGAGCAGAGGUUCUGAUGGCUUGUACAGACCUUCUACUAGCUAUUUUGUAGAAGACAGUAAAGAAAAUAACUCACUGUGUGCAAUUUUAUUUAAAAGAGUGCAAGAAUGUUCUUGAGCUUCUCAGUCCUUUUUUUCCCCGUAGCCUUUCUUAUCAUCGGAAAUGAAAGAAAACAGCCAGAGGAGAUAGGAUCUCAGGUCGAGAAAUCCUAGCAGGUAAUUUUGGAGUUGAAAACAAAUCUCCCUUGAAAUGAAUUAAGCAGGUGAAGGGGAUUCCAGCUCCUACUCUUAAACCACACCUUAUCCUGGCCUGGCAAAUGACUUCCUUCCAGCCCCAGGCAAAUCCCAACUUCCACCCACUAAAUGCCUGCAGUUAAUAAACGUUCAACAACAAAACCCCAAAGUGGAAAAAGGAGGACUGAUUGCAAGCCAAGAUACCAGAAAGACUGUUUGAGAACCUUCCCUGCGAGCUGCAUCCACGAAGAAACAUUUAGGCAAGGAAGCAAGGCCGGGGCAGGGGGACCCAAGACAUAAGCUAGGUAAAUAUCUGACUUGAUUUAAAAUGACUAUUUUUCUUGAUCAGACUUGCCCACUUGUUUUCAUUGAAACUUUGUACCAUGACCCACAUUCAAACCCUUCAAGAUGGCUAAAAUCUCCAGAAUCUAUUACUGAGCCACGAUGUAAGUCAUGCCUCCUGCUAAGUAUGCCAGGACUAGAAAUCCCAAACUCAGGUCUAGAUAAGUCUUCUGAGGGUUGGUGAGGAGGUUCUCAUAGAUCCAGGGAGAACUGAGAAAAAUAAAGAUCAAGUUAUGCUCUGAGGAAUUCACUCAGCAUUACUUAUUAUUCCCAUUUUACAGACGAGAAAAUGGAGGCUUGGAGAAGUUGAGUGCCUGGCCCCAUAGCUAGGCAGCAGCAGAGCCAGGACAGAGAUUCAUAUGAUAAAUCAUAAUGGCUAUCAUUUUCUGAGCACAUUUCAUGAGACAGGCAAAGCACCUUGUGCUUUGUGCAUGUUAACUUUUUAAUUUCUCAUGGAUUGCUUCCUUUUUAAAGGAGUAAAACUGUCCAAUAGCACUUCCUGCCAUGUUGGAAAUGCUCUAUACUUGCACUCUCCAGUACCAUGAUAGUCACUGGCCCCAAUGUGGCUAUUGGGCACUUGAAGUGUGCCAAGUGGGACUGAGGAACUGAAUUUUUUAUUUUAUUUUAUUUUGGUUGAUUUAGAAUUUAAACAGCCACACAUGGCUAGUGGCUACUGCAUUGGACAAUGCAGUUCUAGGAGGUUCAGUAGCUUUUCAAAAAGCUUUUGAAAGCUUGUUAAGUGGUAAGGCCAGAGUUACACCCCAGGCUGAGUGAACCCAAAGCCUAUGCCUUUCCCUUCUCCCCUCUGCUCUCCAGUGAGGUAGCCUGCAUUUUGCAAAAUGAAAGGCCCUGAGAAGGAAACUGACAAGAGAGUCAGCCAAAAAUACAUCCAGACCACCUAAAGGCCAGGUCUGUAUUUGAGUUUGAUUUUUCUGAGUAUGUCUAGAGGCCCCAACAAGAGGCCAAAUACCCCAGUCAGAAGCUUGAGUCCCUGCACCAGCACCUUCCCAGAGCUUACCAAUAGUGGCCCAGUUGAUUGAAGGUUCUAUGACUCACAGGUCCCAAACCUGCUAUUUAAACAUCAGCAUUUCCUUUUUUUGGGCUUAAGACUAAUUGGUAUAGAGGUAGUGAGCUCCCAGGCCUAGCCCCACCCUGUUGAAACAUGUAGCCCUCAAAGGUUUCCACUUCAGGCACCACCCGUGAGGUACAGCUACCAUCUGCCACAUGUCUGAGUGCAAACAUUUAACCCAUGCUGGGCCAUCAUGCUUUCCUCAGCUUCUCGACAGCCUUCCAGUGUGCAUCUCUGCCACAUCACUCCCCUGCCCCAAGGCCUCCAAAGACACCCCAUGAUGCUCGGAACAAAAGCCAAAGUCUUGCUUCCCUGAGCUGCCCCCCUCUCCCCAAUUUCUCUUUCUAUUCCAUGUCAUCCCCAUCAUUCACUCUGCUCUGGUCCCUGAUCUCCUAGCUGUUCCCCAACAUAUCAAACUUGUCCCUGUCCCAGGCCUUUGCACUUAGGGUUCCUUCUACCUGAAAUGCUCUUUGCCGGGAUCAAAUAUGGCUUACUCUUUCUUCAUUCAACCUCUUCCCUAAUGUUACCUUUCCAGAAAAGUCUUUCUGACCCCACUGUGUGUAAAAUAGUGCACCCCUCACCCCUAUCUCUCUACCCUGCGUUACUUUUUUUCAAGGCUCUUAUCACCGGUUGAUAUAUGUAGAUGUAUACAUAUACGUAUACAUAUGCAUAUAUAUAUUUGUUGUUGGUGGUGGUUGGUUUGCUUAUUGUCUGUCACCCCCACUAAGAUGUAAACAGGGUAAGGAGGGACAUUGUCUUUUUUUACUCUGUAUCUCCAGUGUCUAGAAUAGAGUCUGGCACAUAGGUGCUUAUUGAAUAUUUGUUGAAUGAAUGAAUGCAUGCAUGACUUCUUACUGUGAGUGCAAGGAGGUGGGGAGGGGUGGGGAGGCUCAGGCUUGGCUCACUCUACACAGAUCAGUGCUUCCAUGACUUGGAUACUGAACCAUGAGAAACAAAGAGAUUUGUUGGUUUAAUUUCUUUUGCCCUGGGAAAAUUAAAGAUCACAGAUAAUCCAAAACUCAGUGCCAAGUUCUCUAUUUAUAAUCGAGGAAUUAUUCACACAGAGGUAAACAAGAGCAAAGGACUGACAAGUGAACUGGAGGAGGAGAAUGAUGGGAAACAGACUGAGGGACCCGUACAUCUGCAUGCCUUCAACAGGCCUGGGUUCUCACCAGCACUCACUCAACCUUGGAUCCAGAGAACCCUUGAUGUUUUCCAGUCCCAGAAUCCUCUGGGACAGGCUGCCCAGAUGGCUGUUGGGAGUGAGCUGGCGAUCUUAAGCAGAGGCAGCCUAGCUCAGGGCCCUGGGUGCCAAGAUAGUCUCCAGAGACUCUUCUCCCCUCAGGGCCUCAGUCUAGAGUCUGAGGAGAGCUCCCCCCAUUGACACCAUCAGGACCUCCAGCACUGGCUUAAGUGGCUUCCCUGUCCACUGCAGCAUUUGAUUUCAAGCUACAUGUGAAAAAACAGAGUCAUUGAGAGAAAGCAACUCACUGAAGGUCACGUGGGAAACAGCACAGAUAGGAAGAACCAGGCCUCUGAGUCACAGAAAGAUCUUCCAUUCAUCGGAUGAUGGAUUUCUACAGGCUGCAAGAAGACAAAGAACACAAGUGACAAGACACCUAGAAAAAGAUGUUCAAGACCUACAUGAGGCCCACCCAGGGUUCUUUUUGAAACUAUUGUUUGUUGAAGUUAUGGGGAAUAAAGUUUAUACUCCCAUUA